Molecule: ribosomal RNA, 465 nt
Filed under: uncultured Klebsiella sp.
Lineage: Bacteria; Pseudomonadati; Pseudomonadota; Gammaproteobacteria; Enterobacterales; Enterobacteriaceae
Description: bacterial SSU rRNA
Rfam family: Bacterial small subunit ribosomal RNA
Source: RNAcentral
CCUACGGGAGGCAGCAGUGGGGAAUAUAGCACAAUGGGCGCAAGCCUGAUGCAGCCAUGCCGCGUGUGUGAAGAGGGCCUUCGGGUUGUAAAGCACUUUCAGCGGGGAGGAAGGCGUUAAGGUUAAUAACCUUGUCGAUUGACGUUACCCGCAGAAGGAGCACCGGCUAACUCCGUGCCAGCAGCCGCGGUAAUACGGAGGGUGCAGGCGUUAAUCGGAAUUACUGGGCGUAAAGCGCACGCAGGCGGUCUGUCAAGUCGGAUGUGAAAUCCCCGGGCUCAACCUGGGAACUGCAUUCGAAACUGGCAGGCUAGAGUCUUGUAGAGGGGGGUAGAAUUCCAGGUGUAGCGGUGAAAUGCGUAGAGAUCUGGAGGAAUACCGGUGGCGAAGGCGGCCCCCUGGACAAAGACUGACGCUCAGGUGCGAAAGCGUGGGGAGCAAACAGGAUUAGAUACCCCGGUAGUC